GAUGAACGCUGGCGGCGUGCUUAACACAUGCAAGUCGAACGAUGAAGCCCAGCUUGCUGGGUGGAUUAGUGGCGAACGGGUGAGUAACACGUGAGCAACCUGCCCCUGACUCUGGGAUAAGCGCUGGAAACGGCGUCUAAUACUGGAUAUGUCCCGACACCGCAUGGUGUGCGGGUGGAAAGAUUUUUCGGUUGGGGAUGGGCUCGCGGCCUAUCAGCUUGUUGGUGAGGUAAUGGCUCACCAAGGCGUCGACGGGUAGCCGGCCUGAGAGGGUGACCGGCCACACUGGGACUGAGACACGGCCCAGACUCCUACGGGAGGCAGCAGUGGGGAAUAUUGCACAAUGGGCGGAAGCCUGAUGCAGCAACGCCGCGUGAGGGAUGACGGCCUUCGGGUUGUAAACCUCUUUUAGCAGGGAAGAAGCGAAAGUGACGGUACCUGCAGAAAAAGCACCGGCUAACUACGUG
RNAcentral lists this ribosomal RNA (467 nucleotides) under uncultured bacterium. Its description in RNAcentral is "partial 16S ribosomal RNA". It matches the Rfam family "Bacterial small subunit ribosomal RNA", at positions 28 to 507 of the family's 1533-position model. The record is from RNAcentral.